UGCAGNCGACGCUUUGUGGUUCAACUGAUUUGAAGAGCUUGCUCAGAUAUGACGAUGGACAUUGCAAAGAGUGGCGAACGGGUGAGUAACACGUGGGAAACCUACCUCUUAGCAGGGGAUAACAUUUGGAAACAGAUGCUAAUACCGUAUAACAAUAGCAACCGCAUGGUUGCUACUUAAAAGAUGGUUCUGCUAUCACUAAGAGAUGGUCCCGCGGUGCAUUAGUUAGUUGGUGAGGUAAUGGCUCACCAAGACGAUGAUGCAUAGCCGAGUUGAGAGACUGAUCGGCCACAAUGGGACUGAGACACGGCCCAUACUCCUACGGGAGGCAGCAGUAGGGAAUCUUCCACAAUGGGCGAAAGCCUGAUGGAGCAACGCCGCGUGUGUGAUGAAGGGUUUCGGCUCGUAAAACACUGUUGUAAGAGAAGAAUGACAUUGAGAGUAACUGUUCAAUGUGUGACGGUAUCUUACCAGAAAGGAACGGCUAAAUACGUGCCAGCAGCCGCGGU
RNAcentral lists this ribosomal RNA (509 nucleotides) under Weissella cibaria. Its description in RNAcentral is "bacterial SSU rRNA". It matches the Rfam family "Bacterial small subunit ribosomal RNA", at positions 56 to 521 of the family's 1533-position model. Lineage: Bacteria; Bacillati; Bacillota; Bacilli; Lactobacillales; Lactobacillaceae. The record is from RNAcentral.